This 309-nucleotide ribosomal RNA is filed under the name Triticum aestivum (bread wheat). RNAcentral's name for it is "partial small subunit ribosomal RNA". The record is from RNAcentral. Lineage: Eukaryota; Viridiplantae; Streptophyta; Magnoliopsida; Poales; Poaceae.
AUGUACUCGUCGCAGUCGCUGAGCCGCGUCAACAACAUCCGCACCUCCCUCAUCAACGCGCAGAAGGGCAACCAGAGCGCCGCCGCCUACUUCGCCUCCAUGCGCGGCCUCGCGGACGAGCUCACCGCCGCCGGCAAACCGAUCCAGGAUGACGAGCUCAUCUCGUAUAUCUUGCAUGGUCUGGAUAUGGAGUACCAGCCCCUCGUCUCGGCACUCGACGCGCGCGUCACACACCCCUCCCUCGACGAAAUCUUCUCCAUGCUCAGCAACUUUGAACAGCGCAUGGCGCAGUUCCACAGAUCGGGCGGU